GAAACUCCCGAUUGCGAAGGGCAGCCAACAAGGGCCUUUACUGACGCUAAAGCUCGAAGUGCGGGUAUCGAACAGGAUAGAUACCCUGGUAGUCCGCACGGUAAACGAUGGAUGCCCGCUGUUUGCGAUAUACUGUGAGCGGCCAAGAGAAAUCGUUAAGCAUCCCACCUGGGGAGUACGCCGGCAACGGUGAAACUCAAAGGAAUUGACGGGGGCCCGCACAAGCGGAGGAACAUGUGGUUUAAUUCGAUGAUACGCGAGGAACCUUACCCGGGCUUGAACUGCCAGCGAACGAUUCAGAGAUGAUGAGGUCCUUCGGGACGCUGGUGGAGGUGCUGCAUGGUUGUCGUCAGCUCGUGCCGUGAGGUGUCGGCUUAAGUGCCAUAACGAGCGCAACCCUUUUCUUUAGUUGCCAUCAGGUAAUGCUGGGCACUCUGGAGAUACUGCCACCGUAAGGUGUGAGGAAGGUGGGGAUGACGUCAAAUCAGCACGGCCCUUACGUCCGGGGCUACACACGUGUUACAAUGGGGGGUACAGAGAGUCGGAUAUACGCAAGUAUGUUCUAAUCCUUAAAGCCUUCCUCAGUUCGGAUUGGGGUCUGCAACCCGACCCCAUGAAGCUGGAUUCGCUAGUAAUCGCGCAUCAGCCAUGGCGCGGUGAAUACGUUCCCGGGCCUUGUACACACCGCCCGUCAAGCCAUGAAAGCCGGGGGCGCUUGAAGUCCGUGACCGCAAGGAUCGGCCUAGAGCGAAACUGGUAAUUGGGGCUAAGUCGUAACAAGGUAACCGUA
This 790-nucleotide ribosomal RNA is filed under the name uncultured Prevotella sp. Its description in RNAcentral is "bacterial SSU rRNA". It matches the Rfam family "Bacterial small subunit ribosomal RNA", at positions 702 to 1504 of the family's 1533-position model. The record is from RNAcentral. Lineage: Bacteria; Pseudomonadati; Bacteroidota; Bacteroidia; Bacteroidales; Prevotellaceae.